This 252-nucleotide ribosomal RNA is filed under the name uncultured bacterium. RNAcentral's name for it is "partial 16S ribosomal RNA". It matches the Rfam family "Bacterial small subunit ribosomal RNA", at positions 524 to 776 of the family's 1533-position model. The record is from RNAcentral.
UACGGGGGGGUAAGCGUUGUUCGGAAUUACUGGGCGUAAAGGGCGCGUAGGCGGCCUUCUAAGUCGGACGUGAAAUCCCUCGGCUCAACCGAGGAACUGCGUCCGAUACUGAAAGGCUUGAAUCCGGGAGAGGGAUGUGGAAUUCCAGGUGUAGCGGUGAAAUGCGUAGAUAUCUGGAGGAACACCGAUGGCGAAGGCGGCUACCUGGACAGAAACUGACGCUGAGGCGCGAAAGCUAGGGGAGCAAACAGG